Molecule: ribosomal RNA, 253 nt
Filed under: uncultured bacterium
Lineage: Bacteria
Description: partial 16S ribosomal RNA
Rfam family: Bacterial small subunit ribosomal RNA
Source: RNAcentral
UACGGAGGAGGCAAGCGUUAUCCGGAAUUAUUGGGCGUAAAGCGUCCGCAGGUGGCUAUUCAAGUCUGCGGUCAAAGACUGGGGCUUAACCCUGGAAAGGCCGUGGAAACUGAAGAGCUAGAGUGCAGUAGGGGUAGAGGGAAUUCCCGGUGUAGCGGUGAAAUGCGUAGAGCUCGGGAAGAACAUCGGUGGCGAAGGCGGUCUUCUGGACGGUGACUGACGCUGAGGCGCGAAAGCGUGGGGAGCAAACGGG